GCGCAGCAGGCGCGAAAACUUCGCACUGUGCGAAAGCACGAUGAGGGAAUCCCAAGUGCUUGCACGUAAGUGUAAGCUGUUUCUCUGUCUAAAACGCAGAGAGAGUAAGGGCUGGGUAAGACGGGUGCCAGCCGCCGCGGUAAUACCUGCAGCUCAAGUGGUGACCGUUAUUAUUGGGCCUAAAACGUCCGUAGCCGGUUUAAUAAAUGCCUGGGUAAAUUGUGUAGCUUAACUAUACGAAUUCCGGGUAGACUGUUAAACUUGAGACCGGGAGAAGUUAGAGGUACUCCUGGGGUAGAGGUGAAAUUCUGUAAUCCUAGGGGGACCACCAGUGGCGAAGGCGUCUAACUAGAACGGGUCUGACGGUGAGGGACGAAGCCCUGGGGCGCAAACGGGAUUAGAUACCCCGUAGU
Molecule: ribosomal RNA, 413 nt
Filed under: uncultured microorganism
Description: bacterial SSU rRNA
Rfam family: Archaeal small subunit ribosomal RNA
Source: RNAcentral